This 462-nucleotide small RNA is filed under the name Pan troglodytes (chimpanzee). RNAcentral's name for it is "retained intron". Lineage: Eukaryota; Metazoa; Chordata; Mammalia; Primates; Hominidae. The record is from RNAcentral.
UCAACGCGGGCCCUGUGGUCCUCUUGGGUCACAUGCAUGGUGCCCACCCACAGGCUCAGCCUCCUGCUCUGCAAGUGACAGGGCAGCUUGGGGGAGUCUUGGGGAGACCAGAGAUGGAUAAGGUGCUCUAGCCUGUUCUGGAGAGGGCCCCAGGUGACCUGGCAGCUGCAUGGAGCCUCCCUAGGGACCUUCUGUGGCAGGUGUGCUGCCCAAUGUCACCUGCAGGCCUGCUCCCAGUGUGGCCUCUGCCAUAUGUUCUGAGCUUCGGGGAGCAAGAAGACUGCUUCUGUGUGAUGGCGGGCGCUGGGCCGGUGUCGCCUUGCCUUUCAGAAGGAUGUUGAGCCCGAACGUGUGGUAGCUGCUCCCCAAAGGCCGGGGACCGAGCCACAGCCAGAAAUGCCUGACACAGUCCUGCAGUCAGAGACCUUGAAGGACACUGCCCCCGUGCUGGAGGGCUUGAAG